This 253-nucleotide ribosomal RNA is filed under the name uncultured bacterium. Its description in RNAcentral is "partial 16S ribosomal RNA". It matches the Rfam family "Bacterial small subunit ribosomal RNA", at positions 524 to 776 of the family's 1533-position model. The record is from RNAcentral.
UACGUAGGGUGCAAGCGUUGUCCGGAAUUAUUGGGCGUAAAGAGCUCGUAGGCGGUUUGUCGCGUCUGCUGUGAAAACUCGGGGCUUAACCCCGGGCCUGCAGUGGGUACGGGCAGACUAGAGUGCGGUAGGGGAGACUGGAAUUCCUGGUGUAGCGGUGAAAUGCGCAGAUAUCAGGAGGAACACCGGUGGCGAAGGCGGGUCUCUGGGCCGUAACUGACGCUGAGGAGCGAAAGCGUGGGGAGCGUACAGG